ACACUUUCUGUUUUACCUCCGGCCGCUCUUUUAACCUUUAUCCUUUCCCUGCCCCCUUUCAGACCCUCUUACUCACCUCCACAGAUGACGUGUAAAAGAGCUCAAAUCAGUGUGUUACCUUUCCUGGGGUUAUUUUCUUUUUAAACUGAGGUUUUGUCCCUUGGUGAGAAAGCUGGGGUACCGCUGAAAAGAAAGCCAGCCUGGGAGCAAGAGACUUGGAUUUAAAUCUUGCAUCUGUACUUUCUAGUUGUGGGGUCUCUGAUGAGUUACUUUAGCUCUCUGAACCUCAGGGUCCUCAUCUAUAAAAUGGAAGAAUGUCCAAUGCUUUGGGAGGCUGAGGUGGGGGGAUCGCUUGAGCCCAGGAGUCCAGGACCAGCCCGGGCAACGUAGCAAGAUCCCAUGUCUAUGAAAAAAACCCACAAAUUAGCUGGGUAUGUUUGUUCCCACCCAUAGUCACAGCUACUUGGGAGGCUGGGGUGGCUCGAUUGCUUGAGCCCAGGCGUCCGAUGCUGGAGUGCAGUGGCGCGAUCUCUGCUCACUGCAAGCUCCGCCCCCCGGGUUCAUGCCAUUCUCCUGCCUCAGCCACCACGCCCAGCCCCUAAAUUCUUUUUUUAUUUGAUUUUUGUUUUGUUUUGUUUUCUUUUCUUUUCCCAGAUGGGGUAUCGCUGUGUUGUCCAGGCUGGAAUGCAGUAGCGAUAUAAUGGCUCACUGCAGCCUCAACCUCCCAAGCUCAAGCAAUCCUCUUGCCUCAGCUUCCCGAAUAGCUGGGACCACAGGUGUGUGCCACCACACCAGCCAAGAUUUUAUUUUUCUGUAGAGAUGGGGUCUCCGUAUGAUGCCCAGGCUGAUCUCAAACUCCUGGGCUGAAGCAAUCCUCCCACUCAGCCUCCCGAGGUGCUGGGAUUACAGGCUUAAACCAUUGAGCCCAGCCCCCAAACCCCAAGUUGUUAGGGGAAAACUAAACACCUAGUGAGACUGCAACAAAAUGAGAACCAGAAAUGUGGGUGUCCGAUAAUAGCAGGUUAGUCACCAUAAGGAGAGGAAAAGCACAUUAUAUGCAGUUGACUAUAAGCACAUUUUUGGGAAACCUAUACAUGGAUACAAGAUAAUAUUUACAAAAGCAAUCACAAAUAUAAAGUCUCCAAGAUAAGUCGUUGUGGUGUUAUGAUCUGUAUUGAUUUUCAUCCACAGUUCCUGGUUCAUAAUCCCAUAGCCCUAGUUACAGUGUUUUAUUAUAAUGUUGGGUGAGUUGGGUCUCAGGAAACAAACUCUCCUGACCUCGUUUCACUUACUUCAAGGAAGAACUCUAAUCUUCCCCCAUCUUUUGGACUGUGGGUUUUAAGACCCUCCCCAGAAAGGGUCCUGUCCUAUAUCAUGGAGGAAGGAAUGCUGACUGACAUCAUUAAGCUUCCAUAAAAACCCAAGAGGACGAGGUUUGGAGAGCUUCCAAGUAGCUGAACAUGUGGAGGUUCCCGGAGGGUAGCGUACCCAGGGAGGGCAUGGAAACCCCGCAUCCCUUCCCUUAUACCUCACCCUACACAUCUCUUCUUCUUUGGUUGGGAGAGGAUGGCCAGUCUUGGGAACUGAGCCCUCACUCUGUGGUAUCUGACACUAUCUCCAGGUAGAUAGUGUUGAAAUUGAAUUGGAGGACACCCAGCUGUUAUCCAUUGCUUGGUGUAUGGGGAAAAUCCCACACAUUUAUUUGGUCACAGAAGUCUUCUGCUGUGUUGGUGACUGUUGUGAUGGUGUGAGAGCAGAAGAAAAACAUGGUUUGAGAGAGGUUUUCCCUGCACAGUUGUCAAGACUUCUUUAAGAAAAUUAUAAAUAAUAUUAAGUGGCAUUAAAGAAAACCUAAAUAUGUGGAGAUGCAUACCAUGUUCAUGGACAGAAAGGCAAUUAUCUUCACAUUGUCCUAAUGCUAUUUCUUUUUUCUUCUUCUUUCUUUUUUUUCUUUUUUUUUUUGAGAGAGAGUCUCACUCUGUUGCCCAGACUGGAGCGCAGUGGUAUGAUCUCAGCUCACUGCAACCUCCACCUCCCGGGUUCAAGAGAUUCUUCUGCCUCAGCCUCCCAAGUAGCUGGGACUACAGUUGUAUGCCACCACACCUGGCUAAUUUUUGUAUUUUUAGUACAGAUGGGGUUUCACCAUAUUGGCUAGGCUGGUCUCAAACUCCUGACCUCAUGAUCCGCCUGCCUCAGCUUCCCAAAGUGCUGGGAUUAUACGUGUGAGCCACUGCACCCAGUGUCCUAAUGCUAUUUCAACCAAAAGCCCCAAGCAGUUUUUCGUAUAAUUUGACAAGCUGAAACUUCAAUUUAUAUGAAGGAGCAAAGGACCAAGGAAGGCUAAGUCUUGCCCAAAGCAGAAUUCUGGGCAGGUACUUGGCCUCCAAAUAUUGAGAUUUACUAUAAACAACCACAAGUAAGAUAGUAUGAAAAUGACAUAGAGAUUGACAAACAAAUGAUGGAACAGAAUGAAGGGCCUCAAAAUGGAUCCACACAGGGAUCCAGAAUACCUGCUUUCUGGUGGAGGAUGCCCUGAAGACUAGUGGGCAAAGAACAAUUUAUUUCAUAAAUAAAGCUGGGACAAUUGGCUAUCCAAAUUGGAAAGACAAUACCCCUUAACACAUAAAAACUCAAUUCUAGGUGGAUCAAAGUCCUAAAUGUGAAAAUAAACCCUUAAAACUCUUAGAAGAAAAUGUAGAAUAUUUUUAUGAUCUCAGGGUAGAGACAGAUUUCUUAAGCAAAAUACAGAAAAUGCAACCACAAAGAAAAAGACUGACAUUUUUUGAAACAGUAAGUAUGUGAUUAAAAAAAACAAAACUGGCACAUUUGAUAAAAUAAUUUCUGUUCAUUAAAAGACAUCAUAGGUCAAGCACAGUGGCUCAUACCUGUAAUCCCAGCACUUUGGGAGGCCUAGGUGGGAGGAUUGCUUGUGGCCAAGAGUUCAAGACCAAUCUAGGCAACAUAGCAACACCCUGUCUCUAUAAAAAAUACAAAUUAGCUGUGUGUGGUGGCAUGCAACCUGUAGUCCUAGCUACUCAGGAGGCUGAAGUGGGAGGAUCACUUGAGCCUGAGAAGUUGAGGCUGCAAUGAGCCAUGAUUACAUCACUGCACUCCAGCCUGGGUGACACAACCAGACUGUCUCUUAAAAAAAAAAUUGUUUUUGUCUGGGCACAGUAGCUCACGCCUGGAAUCCCAGGCUUUGGGAGGCCAAGGCGGGUGGAUCAUCUGAGGUCAGGAGUU
This 3240-nucleotide long non-coding RNA is filed under the name Homo sapiens (human). RNAcentral describes it as "HSALNT0331012". Lineage: Eukaryota; Metazoa; Chordata; Mammalia; Primates; Hominidae. The record is from RNAcentral.